This 490-nucleotide ribosomal RNA is filed under the name uncultured bacterium. Its description in RNAcentral is "bacterial SSU rRNA". It matches the Rfam family "Bacterial small subunit ribosomal RNA", at positions 15 to 518 of the family's 1533-position model. The record is from RNAcentral.
GAUCAUGGCUCAGGAUGAACGCUGGCGGCGUGCUUAACACAUGCAAGUCGAACGGAGUUAUAUGAAACCUAGUGAUUAUAAACUAGUGGCGGACGGUGAGUAACGCGUGGGUAACCUGCCUUAUACCGGGGGACAACAGUUAGAAAUGACUGCUAAUACCGCAUAAGCGCACGGUGUCGCAUGACACAGUGUGAAAAACUCCGGUGGUAUAAGAUGGACCCGCGUCUGAUUAGCCAGUUGGUGAGGUAACGGCCCACCAAAGCAACGAUCAGUAGCCGGCCUGAGAGGGUGAACGGCCACAUUGGGACUGAGACACGGCCCAAACUCCUACGGGAGGCAGCAGUGGGGAAUAUUGGACAAUGGGGGAAACCCUGAUCCAAGCGACGCCGCGUGAGUGAAGAAGUAUUUCGGUAUGUAAAGCUCUAUCAGCAAGGAAGAUAAUGACGGUACUUGACUAAGAAGCCCCGGCUAACUACGUGCCAGCAGCCGC